GACGAACGCUGGCGGCGUGCUUAACACAUGCAAGUCGAACGGAAAGGCCCCCACUUUUUUGGUGGGGGUGCUCGAGUGGCGAACGGGUGAGUAACACGUGGGUGAUCUGCCCUGUACUUCGGGAUAAGCUUGGGAAACUGGGUCUAAUACCGGAUAGGACCAUGGUUUAGUGUCUCAUGGUGGAAAAAUUAUUGUUUUGGUGCAGGAUGAGCUCGCGGCCUAUCAGCUUGUUGGUGGGGUAAUGGCCUACCAAGGCGUCGACGGGUAGCCGGCCUGAGAGGGUGGACGGCCACAGUGGGACUGAGAUACGGCCCAGACUCCUACGGGAGGCAGCAGUGGGGAAUAUUGCACAAUGGGCGCAAGCCUGAUGCAGCGACGCCGCGUGGGGGAUGACGGCCUUCGGGUUGUAAACUCCUUUCGUUAGGGACGAAGCCGCACCUUUUUUGGGUGUGGUGACGGUACCUUUGUUAAGAAGCACCGGCUAACUACGUG
This 492-nucleotide ribosomal RNA is filed under the name uncultured bacterium. RNAcentral describes it as "partial 16S ribosomal RNA". It matches the Rfam family "Bacterial small subunit ribosomal RNA", at positions 28 to 507 of the family's 1533-position model. The record is from RNAcentral.